UACGUAGGGGGCAAGCGUUGUCCGGAUUUAUUGGGCGUAAAGAGCGUGUAGGCGGCUAGAUAGGUCCGUUGUGAAAACUCGAGGCUCAACCUCGAGACGCCGAUGGAAACCACUUGGCUAGAGUCCGGAAGAGGAGAGUGGAGUUCCUGGUGUAGCGGUGAAAUGCGCAGAUAUCAGGAAGAACACCCGUGGCUAAGGCGGCUCUCUAGUACGGUACUGACGCUGAGACGCGAAAGCGUGGGGAGCGAACAGG
This 253-nucleotide ribosomal RNA is filed under the name uncultured bacterium. RNAcentral describes it as "partial 16S ribosomal RNA". It matches the Rfam family "Bacterial small subunit ribosomal RNA", at positions 524 to 776 of the family's 1533-position model. The record is from RNAcentral.